RNAcentral lists this ribosomal RNA (304 nucleotides) under Belisana sp. Mal77. RNAcentral's name for it is "partial 12S ribosomal RNA". The record is from RNAcentral. Lineage: Eukaryota; Metazoa; Arthropoda; Arachnida; Araneae; Pholcidae.
AGUAGUAAUAUUAAAAUAAACUUAUAUAUAAUGGCGGUCCUAAUAGAUUAGAGAAACUCGCUUAUUAAUCGAUAAUACCCGAUAAAUUUCACUAGUUUUAAAAGUUUAUAUACCGCCGUUAAGAUUUAAUUUAAAAAUUAAAAUCUCUAAAUAUAAUAUAUAAAAAAUCAGGUCAAGGUGUAACAAAUAAAUUAGAUUAAGUAAGUUACAAUAAAUACAAUUUAAGAAUAAUAGUACAACUCAAUAUUUGAAAAAGAAUUUAUAUGUAUUUAUGAAUUAAUAUUUCAUUAAGAAAAUCAUAUUU